RNAcentral lists this transfer RNA (66 nucleotides) under Psococerastis albimaculata. RNAcentral describes it as "tRNA-Pro". The record is from RNAcentral. Lineage: Eukaryota; Metazoa; Arthropoda; Insecta; Psocodea; Psocidae.
CAGGAUAUAGUUUAAAUAAAAUAUUAAUUUUGGGGAUUAAUGAUAAAUUAGUCUAUUUUGUCCUGA